GGAUAACCUACCCUUAGGACCGGGAUAACCCUGGGAAACUGGGGAUAAUACUGGAUAGGCAAUUUUUCCUGUAAUGGUUUUUUGUUUAAAUGUUUUUUCGCCUAAGGAUGGGUCUGCGGCCGAUUAGGUAGUUGGUUAGGUAAUGGCUUACCAAGCCGUUGAUCGGUACGGGUUGUGAGAGCAAGAGCCCGGAGAUGGAACCUGAGACAAGGUUCCAGGCCCUACGGGGUGCAGCAGGCGCGAAACCUCCGCAAUGUGAGAAAUCGCGACGGGGGGAUCCCAAGUGCCAUUCUUAACGGGAUGGCUUUUCAUUAGUGUAAAAAGCUUUUGGAAUAAGAGCUGGGCAAGACCGGUGCCAGCCGCCGCGGUAACACCGGCAGCUCUAGUGGUAGCAAUUUUUAUUGGGCCUAAAGCGUCCGUAGCCGGUUUAAUAAGUCUCUGGUGAAAUCCUGCAGCUUAACUGUGGGAAUUGCUGGAGAUACUAUUAGACUUGAGACCGGGAGAGGUUAGAGGUACUCCCAGGGUAGAGGUGAAAUUCUGUAAUCCUGGGAGGACCGCCUGUUGCGAAGGCGUCUAACUGGAACGGUUCUGACGGUGAGGGACGAAAGUUAGGGGCGCGAACCGGAUUAGAUACCCGGGUAGUCCUAACUGUAAACGAUGCGGACUUGGUGUUGGGGUGGCUUUGAGCUGCUCCAGUGCCGAAGGGAAGCUGUUAAGUCCGCCGCCUGGGAAG
RNAcentral lists this ribosomal RNA (733 nucleotides) under uncultured archaeon. RNAcentral describes it as "bacterial SSU rRNA". It matches the Rfam family "Archaeal small subunit ribosomal RNA", at positions 102 to 835 of the family's 1478-position model. The record is from RNAcentral.